UACGUAGGUGGCAAGCGUUAUCCGGAAUUAUUGGGCGUAAAGCGCGCGCAGGUGGUUCUUUAAGUCUGAUGUGAAAGCCCCCGGCUCAACCGGGGAGGGUCAUUGGAAACUGGGGAACUUGAGUAUAGAAGAGGAAAGUGGAAUUCCACGUGUAGCGGUGAAAUGCGUAGAGAUGUGGAGGAACACCAGUGGCGAAGGCGACUACCUGGCCUGUUCUUGACGCUGAGGCGCGAAAGCUAGGGGAGCAAACGGG
RNAcentral lists this ribosomal RNA (253 nucleotides) under uncultured bacterium. RNAcentral describes it as "partial 16S ribosomal RNA". It matches the Rfam family "Bacterial small subunit ribosomal RNA", at positions 524 to 776 of the family's 1533-position model. The record is from RNAcentral.